RNAcentral lists this ribosomal RNA (245 nucleotides) under uncultured bacterium. RNAcentral's name for it is "partial small subunit ribosomal RNA". It matches the Rfam family "Bacterial small subunit ribosomal RNA", at positions 26 to 285 of the family's 1533-position model. The record is from RNAcentral.
AGAAUCAACGCUGGCGGCGUGCCUAACACAUGCAAGUCGAACGAGAAAGUGGAGCAAUCCAUGAGUAAAGUGGCGCACGGGUGAGUAACACGUGACUAACCUACCCUUGAGUGGGGGAUAACCUAGGGAAACCUGGGCUAAUACCGCAUAAUACCCACGGGUCAAAGCAGCAAUGCGCUUGGAGAGGAGUUCGCGGCCGAUUAGCUAGUUGGCGGGGUAAUGGCCCACCAAGGCAAUGAUCGGUA